UCCCCCUAAUCCCUCAUUUUCUCAUUUUGAUAACUCUAUGGCCUAAAGGUUUUCGAGCUCAAAUGAGAAGAGCUUGAACUACCUUGACUUAAGCUGAACCUUUUUAGUGUUGGGAAGUGCUCUCUUCCCCUCCUAAAUAAGGCACAAAUAAUACCUCACAAGCUCAAUCUAUAAUGGUAACCAAUAACUCAAUCGAAGCAGAAAAUUCAAGCAACCAAGC
This 220-nucleotide long non-coding RNA is filed under the name Elaeis guineensis (African oil palm). RNAcentral describes it as "long non-coding RNA (EGUI_LNC026241)". The record is from RNAcentral. Lineage: Eukaryota; Viridiplantae; Streptophyta; Magnoliopsida; Arecales; Arecaceae.